This 628-nucleotide ribosomal RNA is filed under the name uncultured bacterium. RNAcentral's name for it is "bacterial SSU rRNA". It matches the Rfam family "Bacterial small subunit ribosomal RNA", at positions 28 to 646 of the family's 1533-position model. The record is from RNAcentral.
AUUGAACGCUGGCGGCAGGCCUAACACAUGCAAGUCGAACGGUAACAGGAAGCAGCUUGCUGCUUUGCUGACGAGUGGCGGACGGGUGAGUAAUGUCUGGGAAACUGCCUGAUGGAGGGGGAUAACUACUGGAAACGGUGGCUAAUACCGCAUAACGUCGCAAGACCAAAGAGGGGGACCUUCGGGCCUCUUGCCAUCAGAUGUGCCCAGAUGGGAUUAGCUUGUUGGUGAGGUAACGGCUCACCAAGGCGACGAUCCCUAGCUGGUCUGAGAGGAUGACCAGCCACACUGGAACUGAGACACGGUCCAGACUCCUACGGGAGGCAGCAGUGGGGAAUAUUGCACAAUGGGCGCAAGCCUGAUGCAGCCAUGCCGCGUGUAUGAAGAAGGCCUUCGGGUUGUAAAGUACUUUCAGCGGGGAGGAAGGUGUUGUGGUUAAUAACCGCAGCAAUUGACGUUACCCGCAGAAGAAGCACCGGCUAACUCCGUGCCAGCAGCCGCGGUAAUACGGAGGGUGCAAGCGUUAAUCGGAAUUACUGGGCGUAAAGCGCACGCAGGCGGUCUGUCAAGUCGGAUGUGAAAUCCCCGGGCUCAACCUNNAACUGCAUUCGAAACUGGCAGGCUUGAG